This 293-nucleotide ribosomal RNA is filed under the name uncultured bacterium. Its description in RNAcentral is "partial 16S ribosomal RNA". It matches the Rfam family "Bacterial small subunit ribosomal RNA", at positions 505 to 796 of the family's 1533-position model. The record is from RNAcentral.
GUGUCAGCAGCCGCGGUAAGACGUAGGGUCCAAGCGUUGUCCGGAUUUACUGGGCGUAAAGAGCGCGUAGGCGGUCUGUUAAGUGUAGAGUGAAAUCUCCAGGGCUCAACCCGGAAACUGCUCUGCAUACUGGCAGACUGGAGUGAUGCAGAGGUUUGUGGAAUUCCUGGUGUAACGGUGAAAUGUGUUGAUAUCAGGAGGAACACCCAUGGCGAAGGCAGCAAACUGGGCAUUAACUGACGCUGAGGCGCGAAAGCGUGGGUAGCAAACAGGAUUAGAUACCCCCGUAGUCC